AGCCACGGCUAACUCCGUGCCAGCAGCCGCGGUAAUACGGAGGUGGCAAGCGUUACUCGGAAUUAUUGGGUGUAAAGGGCAAGUAGGCGGUCUAUUAAGUGAGGGGUGAAAUCUUCCGACUCAAUCGGAAAACUGCCUUUCAAACUAAUAGACUUGAGAUUGGAAGAGGGAAACGGAAUUAGCAGUGUAAGGGUGAAAUCUGUAGAUAUUGCUAAGAACACCAGCGGCGAAGGCGGUUUCCUGGUCCAAUACUGACGCUAAAUUGCGAAAGCUAGGGUAGCAAACAGAAUUAGAUACUCUGGUAGUCCUAGCUGUAAACGAUGAGUACUAGGUGUCGGCCCUUAGGGGGCGGUGCCGCAGCUAACGCAUUAAGUACUCCACCUGGGGACUACGGCCGCAAGGCUAAAACUCAAAGGAAUUGACGGGGACCCGCACAAGCGGUGGAACAUGUGGUUUAAUUCGAUGCAACGCGAAGAACCUUACCUGGACUUGACAUGUUAGUGUAAGUCCCGUGAAAGCGGGACCCUCUGCGAGCUUGCUCAAAGACACUAUCACAGGUGAUGCAUGGCUGUCGUCAGCUCGUGUCGUGAGAUGUUGGGUUAAGUCCCGCAACGAGCGCAACCCCUAUCCUUAGUUGCCAGCACGUUAUGGUGGGGACUCUAAGGAGACUGCCCGGGAUAACCGGGAGGAAGGUGGGGAUGAUGUCAAGUCAGUAUGUCCCUUAUGUCCAGGGCUACACACGUGUUACAAUGGCUGGUACAAUGGGUUGCCAACCCGCAAGGGGGAGCCAAUCCCAAAAAACCAGCCCCAGUUCAGAUUGGAGUCUGCAACUCGACUUCAUGAAGUCGGAAUCGCUAGUAAUCGCGCAUCAGCACGGCGCGGUGAAUACGUUCCCGGGUCUUGUACACACCGCCCGUCACGCCAUGGAAGUCAGCAGUACCCAAAGAUGGUGAACCAACCCUUCGGGGAGGUAGCUAUUUAAGGUAAGGCUGGUAACUAGGGCGAAGUCGUAACAAGGUAGCCGUACCGGAAGGUGCGGCUG
RNAcentral lists this ribosomal RNA (1042 nucleotides) under marine sediment metagenome. RNAcentral describes it as "bacterial SSU rRNA". It matches the Rfam family "Bacterial small subunit ribosomal RNA", at positions 488 to 1520 of the family's 1533-position model. The record is from RNAcentral.